GGUUCAAUAGUGUAGUGGCUAUCACGCUCGCCUCACACGCGAGAGAUCCUGGGUUCGAACCCCAGUUGAACCA
This 73-nucleotide transfer RNA is filed under the name Lingula anatina. Its description in RNAcentral is "tRNA-Val". It matches the Rfam family "tRNA". From Rfam's summary of the family: Transfer RNA (tRNA) molecules are approximately 80 nucleotides in length. The record is from Rfam by way of RNAcentral. Lineage: Eukaryota; Metazoa; Brachiopoda; Lingulata; Lingulida; Lingulidae.